This 377-nucleotide ribosomal RNA is filed under the name uncultured Phycisphaerae bacterium. RNAcentral describes it as "bacterial SSU rRNA". It matches the Rfam family "Bacterial small subunit ribosomal RNA", at positions 521 to 896 of the family's 1533-position model. Lineage: Bacteria; Pseudomonadati; Planctomycetota; Phycisphaerae. The record is from RNAcentral.
UAAGACGAAGGUGGCGAGCGUUGUUCGGUAUUACUGGGCUUAAAGCGUGUGUAGGCGGAAAGGUAAGCGUCCUGUGAAAGCCCCCGGCUUAACCGGGGAAUUGCGAGACGUACUGCCUUUCUUGAGGCGAGUAGGGGUGCAUGGAACUCUUGGUGGAGCGGUGGAAUGCGUAGAUAUCAAGAGGAACGCCGAUGGAGAAAUCAGUGCACUGGGCUUGUCCUGACGCUGAGACACGAAAGCGUGGGGAGCGAACGGGAUUAGAUACCCCGGUAGUCCACGCCGUAAACGAUGUCUACUAGGUUGUGGAAGUUCUGACACUUGCACGACCGUAGCAAAAGUGUUAAGUAGACCGCCUGGGGAGUACGGCCGCAAGGCUA